This 73-nucleotide transfer RNA is filed under the name Bos taurus (domestic cattle). It matches the Rfam family "tRNA". From Rfam's summary of the family: Transfer RNA (tRNA) molecules are approximately 80 nucleotides in length. Their secondary structure includes four short double-helical elements and three loops (D, anti-codon, and T loops). RNAcentral also lists the same sequence under 2 other names. Lineage: Eukaryota; Metazoa; Chordata; Mammalia; Artiodactyla; Bovidae. The record is from Rfam by way of RNAcentral.
UCCCCGGUGGUCCAUUGGCUAAAAUUUUGCACUACCAAUGCAGGUGGCCCAGGUUAAAUCCCUGGUCAGGGAA